AGGAUGAACGCUAGCGGCAGGCUUAAUACAUGCAAGUCGAGGGGCAGCAGGUCUGUAGCAAUACAGAUGCUGGCGACCGGCAAACGGGUGCGGAACACGUACGCAACCUUUCCUUUAAGUGGGGGAUAGCCCAGGGAAACUUGGAUUAAUACCUCGUAAUAUUAUGAAAUGGCAUCUAUUUUUAUAAUUAUAGCUCAGGCGUCUUAAAGAUGGGCGUGCGACUGAUUAGGUAGUUGGCGGGGUAACCGGCCCACCAAGCCUACGAUCAAGUAACUGGGUGUGAGA
Molecule: ribosomal RNA, 285 nt
Filed under: uncultured soil bacterium
Lineage: Bacteria
Description: partial 16S ribosomal RNA
Rfam family: Bacterial small subunit ribosomal RNA
Source: RNAcentral